This 207-nucleotide long non-coding RNA is filed under the name Carica papaya (papaya). RNAcentral's name for it is "long non-coding RNA (CPAP_LNC001199)". The record is from RNAcentral. Lineage: Eukaryota; Viridiplantae; Streptophyta; Magnoliopsida; Brassicales; Caricaceae.
CCCAAUCUAGUCUGGAAAGACGUAAGAGGAUCAUUGUCAACAGAUGACGGUAUACCUUUGACGAGAGUGGUAACGCGAAUAUCUGUUAAGAGCCACUAUGGUUGGUAUGGUCGUGGUCGUAGAUCGUACCAUAGUUUGGCCAACCGAAAAUAGAACUGAGCAAAUUGUCGUAUCUGCAUCUGAUAUGAUCAUUCCACUUGCGUAGUU